AGAGUUUGAUCAUGGCUCAGAAUCAACGCUGGCGGCGCGCUUAACACAUGCAAGUCGAGCGAGAAAGGGGAGCAAUCCCUGAGUACAGCGGCGUACGGGUGAGUAACACGUGGGUAAUCUACCUUUUAGUGGGGAAUAACCCUGGGAAACCGGGGCUAAUACCGCAUAAUCCUGUGAAGGGAAAGCAGCAAUGCGCUGAAAGAGGAGCCCGCGGCCGAUUAGCUAGUUGGUGAGGUAACGGCCCACCAAGGCGACGAUCGGUAGCCGGCCUGAGAGGGCACACGGCCACACUGGCACUGAAACACGGGCCAGACUCCUACGGGAGGCAGCAGUGGGGAAUCUUGCACAAUGGGGGAAACCCUGAUGCAGCGACGCCGCGUGAGCGAUGAAGCCCCUCGGGGUGUAAAGCUCUUUCGGCAGGAACGAUAAUGACGGUACCUGAAGAAGAAGCUGCGGCUAACUACGUGCCAGCAGCCGCGGUAAUACGUAGGCAGCGAGCGUUGUUCGGAAUUACUGGGCGUAAAGAGUGUGUAGGCGGUGCCCUAAGUUUGGUGUGAAAUCUCCCGGCUCAACUGGGAGGGUGCGCCGAAGACUGGGGUGCUCGAACGUGGGAGAGGAAAGCGGAAUUCCUGGUGUAGCGGUGAAAUGCGUAGAUAUCAGGAGGAACACCUGUGGUGUAGACGGCUUUCUGGACCAUUGUUGACGCUGAGACACGAAAGCGUGGGUAGCAAACAGGAUUAGAUACCCUAGUAGUCC
RNAcentral lists this ribosomal RNA (756 nucleotides) under uncultured bacterium. RNAcentral's name for it is "bacterial SSU rRNA". It matches the Rfam family "Bacterial small subunit ribosomal RNA", at positions 8 to 796 of the family's 1533-position model. The record is from RNAcentral.